GACAUCACCACUAAAGCUGCAUGCUAUCUCUGUCAUGGAUAGGAAACGUUAUCGUAUUGCUGCAACGUGUGGUCAAGCCGACCGUCACUCUCAUCUCCAUGGUCAAAUGGGCCAACGCUACAACUGUAGAGCACCCAUAUACUGACAUUUAUGUUAAAUGCAUUC
Molecule: long non-coding RNA, 165 nt
Organism: Sebastes umbrosus (honeycomb rockfish)
Lineage: Eukaryota; Metazoa; Chordata; Actinopteri; Perciformes; Sebastidae
Exons: 3
Source: RefSeq, a predicted model, not a curated record